This 369-nucleotide ribosomal RNA is filed under the name uncultured organism. Its description in RNAcentral is "bacterial SSU rRNA". It matches the Rfam family "Bacterial small subunit ribosomal RNA", at positions 526 to 896 of the family's 1533-position model. The record is from RNAcentral.
CGUAGGUGGCUAAGCGUUGUCCGGAUUUAUUGGGUUUAAAGGGUGCGUAGGCGGUCUAUUAAGUCAGUGGUGAAAUAUCGCAGCUUAACUGUGAGGGUGCCAUUGAUACUGAUGGACUUGAGUGAAGUCGAAGUAGGCGGAAUUGACGGUGUAGCGGUGAAAUGCUUAGAUAUCGUCAAGAACACCGAUAGUGAAGACAGCUUACUAGGCUUAUACUGACGCUGAGGCACGAAAGUGUGGGGAUCAAACAGGAUUAGAUACCCUGGUAGUCCACACUGUAAACGUUGAUGACUCGCUGUUGGCGAUAUACAGCCAGCGGCCAAGCGCAAGCGAUAAGUCAUCCACCUGGGGAGUACGCCGGCAACGGUG